GACGAACGCUGGCGGCGUGCUUAACACAUGCAAGUCGAACGGUAAGGCCCUUCGGGGUACACGAGUGGCGAACGGGUGAGUAACACGUGGGUGAUCUGCCCUGCACUUCGGGAUAAGCCUGGGAAACUGGGUCUAAUACCGGAUAGGACUCCUGGCUCCAUGGUUGGGGGUGGAAAGCUUUUGCGGUGUGGGAUGGGCCCGCGGCCUAUCAGCUUGUUGGUGGGGUAAUGGCCUACCAAGGCGACGACGGGUAGCCGGCCUGAGAGGGUGACCGGUCACACUGGGACUGAGAUACGGCCCAGACUCCUACGGGAGGCAGCAGUGGGGAAUAUUGCACAAUGGGCGCAAGCCUGAUGCAGCGACGCCGCGUGAGGGAUGACGGCCUUCGGGUUGUAAACCUCUUUCAGCUAUGACGAAGCGCAAGUGACGGUAGUAGCAGAAGAAGGACCGGCCAACUACAUGCCAGCCGCCGCAGUAA
RNAcentral lists this ribosomal RNA (478 nucleotides) under uncultured bacterium. RNAcentral describes it as "partial 16S ribosomal RNA". It matches the Rfam family "Bacterial small subunit ribosomal RNA", at positions 28 to 523 of the family's 1533-position model. The record is from RNAcentral.